This 255-nucleotide long non-coding RNA is filed under the name Lathyrus oleraceus (garden pea). RNAcentral describes it as "Pisum sativum (pea) long non-coding RNA (PSAT_LNC007988)". The record is from RNAcentral. Lineage: Eukaryota; Viridiplantae; Streptophyta; Magnoliopsida; Fabales; Fabaceae.
ACGAAAGCCAAUAGAUUAAGUAAAGUGUAUGAGAAUGGAGUGAUUCAAUUUCUUGAUUUUGCGGAAAAAAACCUUCAUAAGGCAAAGGGGAUUUUUUGAUGUCCUUGUAAAAUUUUCCGAAAUAUGCACAAACAUCCGAGGGAUGAAAUAUUAAAUCAUUUAGGUUGUGAUGAAAUUAUUCAAAAUUAUACGAAAUAUGUAUGAUAUGAUAAAGUGACAAAAAAAGACAUUUGUCACCUACAGUUGAAGAAGGUG